This 63-nucleotide transfer RNA is filed under the name Erinaceus europaeus (western European hedgehog). It matches the Rfam family "tRNA". Rfam says of the family: Transfer RNA (tRNA) molecules are approximately 80 nucleotides in length. The record is from Rfam by way of RNAcentral. Lineage: Eukaryota; Metazoa; Chordata; Mammalia; Eulipotyphla; Erinaceidae.
GGGGAGAUAGUUCAGUGGUAGAGCACAGGAUUUGAGACCCUACCUUGUAUCUGGGUUUCCCCA